Molecule: non-coding RNA, 21 nt
Filed under: Caenorhabditis elegans
Lineage: Eukaryota; Metazoa; Nematoda; Chromadorea; Rhabditida; Rhabditidae
Source: RNAcentral
UCUAUCACGGAUUUUUAAGUU